This 475-nucleotide ribosomal RNA is filed under the name uncultured organism. Its description in RNAcentral is "partial 16S ribosomal RNA". It matches the Rfam family "Bacterial small subunit ribosomal RNA", at positions 334 to 800 of the family's 1533-position model. The record is from RNAcentral.
CACUCCUACGGGAGGCAGCAGUGGGGAAUUUUGGACAAUGGGCGAAAGCCUGAUCCAGCCAUGCCGCGUGCAGGAUGAAGGCCUUCGGGUUGUAAACUGCUUUUGUACGGAACGAAACGGCCUUUUCUAAUAAAGAGGGCUAAUGACGGUACCGUAAGAAUAAGCACCGGCUAACUACGUGCCAGCAGCCGCGGUAAUACGUAGGGUGCAAGCGUUAAUCGGAAUUACUGGGCGUAAAGCGUGCGCAGGCGGUUAUGUAAGACAGUUGUGAAAUCCCCGGGCUCAACCUGGGAACUGCAUCUGUGACUGCAUAGCUAGAGUACGGUAGAGGGGGAUGGAAUUCCGCGUGUAGCAGUGAAAUGCGUAGAUAUGCGGAGGAACACCGAUGGCGAAGGCAAUCCCCUGGACCUGUACUGACGCUCAUGCACGAAAGCGUGGGGAGCAAACAGGAUUAGAAACCCGGGUAGUCCCAUGA